Molecule: long non-coding RNA, 330 nt
Filed under: Fukomys damarensis (Damara mole-rat)
Lineage: Eukaryota; Metazoa; Chordata; Mammalia; Rodentia; Bathyergidae
Description: lncRNA (ENSFDAG00000022605.1)
Source: RNAcentral
GCCCGGUGUCACUGUGUUGCAUGGGGAUGACCUCAUGUUCCUUCCCAAAUGCCACAUUAUAACAGUGGCUUGGCCAUCAAGACACACACCUCUUCAGCAGAAUCGAAAUGGGACGCUCCGCACUGCAAGCCCAUCGCCACUCUCCUUUAAUGGAAACUUUGGUGCUCACCGAAGGCAGGCUUGGGCUCCAAGACUUAACACUGCAUUCAACACACCUGUUGUUAAAAGCACCUUGACACAUACACGCCAUUACCAACUUGCAUUGGACUUCAGGUAAGCAUGCAAAAUGCUGAUUUCAGAGAUGUUUUACAAAAUAGUUUGGAAUAUUCC